GCAUCUGUGCAUGCAGCAUAUCAAUAAGCGGAGGAAAAGAAACUAACAAGGAUUCCCUUAGUAACGGCGAGUGAAGCGGGAAGAGCUCAAAUUUGAAAUCUUCAAGGUUUUACCUUGACGAAUUGUAGUUUAAAGAAGUGUUUUCUGUUGAAGUUUUGGUAAAAGUUCUUUGGAAUAGGACAUCAUAGAGGGUGAGAAUCCCGUAUUUGACCAUUAUUUUCAGCUGUGUGAUACACUUUCAAAGAGUCGGAUUGUUUGGGAAUGCAGUCCAAAAUGGGUGGUAAAUUUCAUCUAAAGCUAAAUAUUGGCGAGAGACCGAUAGCGAACAAGUACCGUGAGGGAAAGAUGAAAAGAACUUUGAAAAGAGAGUUAAACAGGUACGUGAAAUUGUCAAAAGGGAAGCGUUUGACACCAGUGUUGUUUUCUCGAAAAUCAAUUAAAAAGAGUUAGGAUUUUGUGUUGUAUUGACCUUAACAGCUUGCAUUUCACUCUUUUCCUAGCUUUUUUUAAUGCACUUUUCGUUUAACAAGUCAACAUCAGUUUCUUUUGUUGUAAAAAGGUCAUUGGAAGGUGGCUUUCUUUUCGGAGAAAGUGUUUAUAGCCUUUGACUCCUGCAAUCGGAGAGACUGAGGUCUGCAGCGUAGAUCCUUCGGGGUUAGAUACAUUUGUGCUAAGUUAUAGCUUUUUAUAGACAACUUGUUGACUAUGAUUAGUCUUGUAGCUUACUCGCUUAUGCUAUUUUACCUACGCUUAGGAUGUUGACGCGCGUGUGUGCGUG
This 778-nucleotide ribosomal RNA is filed under the name uncultured Neocallimastigales. RNAcentral's name for it is "partial large subunit ribosomal RNA". It matches the Rfam family "Eukaryotic large subunit ribosomal RNA", at positions 24 to 639 of the family's 3401-position model. The record is from RNAcentral. Lineage: Eukaryota; Fungi; Neocallimastigomycota; Neocallimastigomycetes; Neocallimastigales.